GAUGAACGCUAGCGGCAGGCCUAACACAUGCAAGUCGAGGGAGAAGCCUUCGGGCUGAAACCGGCGCACGGGUGCGUAACGCGUAUACAAUCUGCCUUUCACAUAGGGAUAGCCCGAAGAAAUUUGGAUUAAUACCUAAUGGUAUAUAAGAGCGGCAUCGUUUUUAUAUUAAAGCUACGGUGGUGAAAGAUGAGUAUGCGUUCUAUUAGCUAGUUGGAGAGGUAACGGCUCCCCAAGGCGACGAUAGAUAGGGGUUCUGAGAGGGAUGUCCCCCACACUGGUACUGAGAUACGGACCAGACUCCUACGGGAGGCAGCAGUGAGGAAUAUUGGACAAUGGUCGGAAGACUGAUCCAGCCAUGCCGCGUGCAGGAUGAAGGUCCUAUGGAUUGUAAACUGCUUUUGUAAGGGAAGAAUAAGAGCUACGUGUA
Molecule: ribosomal RNA, 430 nt
Filed under: Capnocytophaga sputigena
Lineage: Bacteria; Pseudomonadati; Bacteroidota; Flavobacteriia; Flavobacteriales; Flavobacteriaceae
Description: bacterial SSU rRNA
Rfam family: Bacterial small subunit ribosomal RNA
Source: RNAcentral